GCCUCGGUAGCUCAGCCUGGUAGAGCGCCUCCAUGGUAAGGAGGAGGUCGCGGGUUCAAACCCCGCCCGAGGCU
Molecule: transfer RNA, 74 nt
Filed under: Candidatus Marsarchaeota G1 archaeon OSP_C
Lineage: Archaea; Thermoproteati; Thermoproteota
Also listed under: 11 other names
Description: tRNA-Thr
Rfam family: tRNA
About the family: Transfer RNA (tRNA) molecules are approximately 80 nucleotides in length. Their secondary structure includes four short double-helical elements and three loops (D, anti-codon, and T loops).
Source: RNAcentral